Molecule: unclassified non-coding RNA, 148 nt
Organism: Pongo abelii (Sumatran orangutan)
Lineage: Eukaryota; Metazoa; Chordata; Mammalia; Primates; Hominidae
Rfam family: Metazoan signal recognition particle RNA
About the family: The signal recognition particle (SRP) is a universally conserved ribonucleoprotein. It is involved in the co-translational targeting of proteins to membranes.
Source: Ensembl
GCUGGGAGUGGUGGUGCAUGCCUGUAAUCCCAGCUACUCAGGAGGCUGAGGCAGGAGAAUUGCUUGAACCUGGGAGGCAGGGGUUGCAGUGAGCUGAGAUCGCACCACUGCACUCCAGUCUAGGUGACAGAGCAAGACUCUGUCUCAA